UCGUCCGGGUCGGUUUCCUGGCUUGAUGAUAUUGCGAAAUUGACCCACCUGGUUGAACAAGGUGGCUCCCGUUAAACACGCGCCAAACGGCGGGAGUAAAAUCUCGCGAAUUGCUGGAACCCCCUAAAGCCAACUUGACCACAACGUAGCCGGCGACGGCAAGCGUGAUGGUUUAAAAACAAGUUGGAUGCAACAAUGGGCAACCAGCAGCCAAGCAUCUCUGGAAACGGAGAUGAAGGUUCAACGACUAUUGAAACUUCCUACAGCUCCCCAUACAAUGAAUAUAAUUAUAAAAAUGUUUGGAGUGAGGGAGCCAUGGAAGGAGUAAAUCGUAACACUCGGCAACGGGGUUACGAGGUGCGAGACAAAGAAGAGAUGUUGAAGCAUUCUCUUCUUUGAUGAUAUAGUCUGACCUCCGCUCGAAAGACGGAG
RNAcentral lists this non-coding RNA (432 nucleotides) under Saccharococcus thermophilus. RNAcentral's name for it is "Group I catalytic intron". It matches the Rfam family "Group I catalytic intron". Rfam says of the family: Group I catalytic introns are large self-splicing ribozymes. They catalyse their own excision from mRNA, tRNA and rRNA precursors in a wide range of organisms. The core secondary structure consists of 9 paired regions (P1-P9). The record is from RNAcentral. Lineage: Bacteria; Bacillati; Bacillota; Bacilli; Caryophanales; Anoxybacillaceae.